CUCUGAGAAUCGCGCAGCCACCAAUCAAUCGCGCCGCCACUGCAGCCCGCCGCCACCGCAUCCCGCAGCCACCAUAGCGACGGGUUUGACCACCGCAGCCCCACCGCGUCGUUGUCAUCGCGGAGCUCGCCUUCUCUGUAUUCGCCGGUGUCGCAUCCUCUGUUGUCGCCGUUGCUCACCGCCGGGAGUUUGCUGAUUUAAGUUUUACUGUGGAGUUUGUGGAGUUUGCUGAGUUUUACUAGUGUAGACGAAGUUUCUAUCAACUUUGAGAGGAACAAGAGCAGGGUAUUGAUCAGAGUUUAGGCUUCUGAGUUUCUUGUUGAGAUUUUGUGCAAAAGCUGAGUCAUUUCUAGCAGGAAGUUGAAGUUGAGGAAGAGAAGGGAUCAGUGUUUGAGAUGCCUUUGUAUUGGAAUAUAGCUGUGGUGGUUUUGUUGUUAACUGAGAUUGGAGCAUUCAUAAAGACCCUUUGCAGCCAUGAAGUACCUGCUUGGAACAAUGUUGGCAUGGACUAAAACAUGUGGUUUGCCCUAGUCCAAUUAGUAUAGAACUUGUGGUAA
Arachis ipaensis is the source of this 557-nucleotide non-coding RNA. The record is from RefSeq and is a predicted model, not a curated record. Lineage: Eukaryota; Viridiplantae; Streptophyta; Magnoliopsida; Fabales; Fabaceae.